CCCGCCCCUCCCCGGCCUCUUGAAACAAAGUUAUCAAAUUUUGCCGUUUGAGUUGGCCGGAAGUGGAGAGGAGCAAAGAUGGAGAAACGGCCCAAACGAAAGGGGGGCGCUGAAAAAUUGCGCGAAAAAAGGCUUAAAAGCCUGCAAGUCGAUGCAGCAAAAUGCAGCAAAAUAAGUGACAUGUUUGCCGUUGCUUCCACUAGUUCACCUGCGGCAGCGACUGCUGCUGCCAUGAUAGAAAAAGAAGCCGAAGUUCAGGGGGAGUCUGAGGAAAAGGAGUAGGAGGAGAAGGAGGAGGAGGACGGAGGGAGAGACGUGACACAGCAGGGACAGAUCGAGGAGGUUUCCCAGAGACUAUGGGUUGAGGAGGAAUUGGAAGUUUGUCGGCUUAGACCUGGUGUCAUUCCAUCAGUGUUAAACUUCCCAGCUCAUCUUGGAAGAGCACGUGCCAGAAAGACCACGACCAAGCAGCCUUGAGAUCUUAGACAGCGUCUCCCUCAGGUGGGUGUCAACGGUGUUCACAGUCAGGUCUGUGGUAAUCAUGUCAAAAAAACAAAACAGAAAAAAAUCUAGAUUAUAAAUCAACAUGUAACCAAAGCACUCUGUGUAUAACGCCAUAGUAUAGGAUGUAGUUCAGAAAAUGUCAAAGUAUAGUAUGCUUUACUCAAGAAUA
Molecule: long non-coding RNA, 673 nt
Organism: Amphiprion ocellaris (clown anemonefish)
Lineage: Eukaryota; Metazoa; Chordata; Actinopteri; Pomacentridae
Source: Ensembl